GAAAGCCACGGCUAACUACGUGCCAGCAGCCGCGGUAAUACGUAGGUGGCAAGCGUUAUCCGGAAUUAUUGGGCGUAAAGCGCGCGUAGGCGGUUUUUUAAGUCUGAUGUGAAAGCCCACGGCUCAACCGUGGAGGGUCAUUGGAAACUGGAAAACUUGAGUGCAGAAGAGGAAAGUGGAAUUCCAUGUGUAGCGGUGAAAUGCGCAGAGAUAUGGAGGAACACCAGUGGCGAAGGCGACUUUCUGGUCUGUAACUGACGCUGAUGUGCGAAAGCGUGGGGAUCAAACAGGAUUAGAUACCCUGGUAGUCCACGCCGUAAACGAUGAGUGCUAAGUGUUAGGGGGUUUCCGCCCCUUAGUGCUGCAGCUAACGCAUUAAG
Molecule: ribosomal RNA, 380 nt
Filed under: Staphylococcus aureus
Lineage: Bacteria; Bacillati; Bacillota; Bacilli; Caryophanales; Staphylococcaceae
Description: bacterial SSU rRNA
Rfam family: Bacterial small subunit ribosomal RNA
Source: RNAcentral